Molecule: transfer RNA, 73 nt
Filed under: Candidatus Helarchaeota archaeon
Lineage: Archaea; Promethearchaeati; Candidatus Helarchaeota
Description: tRNA-Thr
Rfam family: tRNA
About the family: Transfer RNA (tRNA) molecules are approximately 80 nucleotides in length. Their secondary structure includes four short double-helical elements and three loops (D, anti-codon, and T loops).
Source: RNAcentral
GCCUCCGUAGCUCAGCUGGUAGAGCGACAGACUUGUAAUCUGUUGGUCGCGUGUUCAAGUCACGCCGGGGGCU